GACGAACGCUGCGGCGUGCCUAAUACAUGCAAGUAGAACGCACAGGAUGCACCGUAGUUUACUACACCGUAUUCUGUGAGUUGCGAACGGGUGAGUAACGCGUAGGUAACCUGCCUGGUAGCGGGGGAUAACUAUUGGAAACGAUAGCUAAUACCGCAUAAGAACAUUUACUGCAUGGUAGAUGUUUAAAAGGUGCAAAAGCAUCACUACCAGAUGGACCUGCGUUGUAUUAGCUAGUUGGUGAGGUAACGGCUCACCAAGGCAACGAUACAUAGCCGACCUGAGAGGGUGAUCGGCCACACUGGGACUGAGACACGGCCCAGACUCCUACGGGAGGCAGCAGUAGGGAAUCUUCGGCAAUGGGGGGAACCCUGACCGAGCAACGCCGCGUGAGUGAAGAAGGUUUUCGGAUCGUAAAGCUCUGUUGUUAAGGAAGAACGUGUGUGAGAGUG
Molecule: ribosomal RNA, 452 nt
Filed under: Streptococcus constellatus
Lineage: Bacteria; Bacillati; Bacillota; Bacilli; Lactobacillales; Streptococcaceae
Description: bacterial SSU rRNA
Rfam family: Bacterial small subunit ribosomal RNA
Source: RNAcentral